This 207-nucleotide ribosomal RNA is filed under the name uncultured bacterium. Its description in RNAcentral is "partial 16S ribosomal RNA". It matches the Rfam family "Bacterial small subunit ribosomal RNA", at positions 568 to 774 of the family's 1533-position model. The record is from RNAcentral.
AGCGUAGGCGGAUUUUUAAGUGGGAUGUGAAAUACUCGGGCUCAACCUGAGUGCUGCAUUCCAAGCUGGAAGUCUAGAGUACAGGAGGGGAAAGUGGAAUUCCUAGUGUAGCGGUGAAAUGCGUAGAUAUUAGGAAGAACACCGGUGGCGAAGGCGACUUUCUGGACUGUAACUGACGCUGAGGCUCGAAAGCGUGGGGAGCGAACA